This 516-nucleotide ribosomal RNA is filed under the name Triticum aestivum (bread wheat). RNAcentral's name for it is "partial small subunit ribosomal RNA". The record is from RNAcentral. Lineage: Eukaryota; Viridiplantae; Streptophyta; Magnoliopsida; Poales; Poaceae.
AUGCUCAUAUUGGCUCCCACAUAUUCUACAAAGAUCUUUAUCGGUCAGACCGGCAUAUUUCCUUCAAAGAUGUCCAUGAAUCCCUUCUGCGAGAUUGCCGUGGAGGAGGCGCUGCGGCUCCGCGAGGCCGGCGCCGCCUCCGAGGUCGUCGCCGCCACCGUCGGUCCCGCGCAGGUCGCCGACACGCUCCGCACCGCGCUCGCCAUGGGCGCCGACCGCGCCGUCCAUGUCCUCCACGACCCCGACCCCGACGCCGCCCGCCCGCUCCUCCCGCUCGCCGUCGCCAAGAUCCUCCGCGCCCUCGCGCUCCAGGAGACCCCCGGCCUCCUCAUCCUCGGCAAGCAGGAAUUAGACACUCAAAAUUCCGACCGUUGCUGUGCUACGCGCCAGCUGUCCCAAAAUAUCUACCCACCUAACGCGAGGUACUCCCUUGUUUUGUGUGAUUUUGGUUUAACCGCCUGGAGUUUUAGUUUUGUCGACCGUAGGUAUGAUCAAGGUCUGUGCUGGGUGAGCUAG